CAAUUUUUAAAAUGCUUUCUGAAUCAUCUUUUUUGAUCAUAUUAUCGUUCGCUGACGCUAAAUAUUGUAAAUUAACAGCAUCACCAGGAUUUUCUGGUUGUUUUACAUUAACUAAUUUGUGUCCUGCGAUAUCAUAAUCGCUAUUUUCUGUUAGAUUAAAUCCUAUACCAGGUGGUCCUCUUGUUGAUUUUCCACCUUUUUUUCUAUUUUUUCUAAGAACGUAUUCAGAUGUCAUCGUCUUUGACUUCGGAUAGGCCUGCGGAGCCGUAGUCCCUUUCAGGGACGCUCUGCCAGUCAUUUAUGGGUGUAAAAUUCUUUCUAUAUUUCAUUUCAGGAGUUUUGAAAUCAAUAGUUAAGCAAUCAAAAUUUUUAAUGUUAUUUUCAUAAUAUUUCCUGAGUUUCUUAUCUAACCCCUUUUCUCUAAAUAUUAAGCUUAUAUCAUUACCAUCACAUGAUGGAAAUAUUGAAAGAUAAUUACAUUGUAAACGAAUUGAUUUUGGCACUCUAUACCAAUCCUGCGUUAUAUAAAUCAUUGAAGCAUUCAUUUUUCUUCCGCGUAUAGCUAAAUCUAUCAGUUUCUUUUGAUCUUUUGCCGUUACGAAAUCAUCAACGACAAUCAAGUUUUGUUUAUCUCUAUCGAGUUCGUCUACAUCGACUAUGCCUUCUAUAUCUGAUGAAAAGUAUGAUUCAAUUAUCGGUUCUUCAGGUCGAAUUUCGUUUUGCUCCAUGAGUGGACUACGUCCACGAAUUUUUUCAUCAUCAAACACAUUUUGUAAUAACUGAUAAUAAGGUUCUUCUAAAUCCUUUGCAUACAAAUAAAAAGUAUCAAAAAAUAAUAUUUUAAUAUAUGUGCACACAUUUCGCAGCGUGUUCGAAUCCUUUGCUCAAAAUUUAUACUUUUUUGAUUUUGGUCAAGUGCAUGCCUCUGUUUAACUUAAAAUAACUAUUAAAUGGUGCAUUUUAGCGGUGUAAAAGGUUAUACCUUUCUUAUUCGCCAUUGAUUACUCUAUCGAUUUAGGCAAUAAACAAGUAGUGUUAAGAGGGUAAAAAAUUAGAAAAACACAAAAAAUGUGACCCGGAAAUGCUGCAACCGGAAACUGGAUGGAUGUAUCCGGUUUUCAUAAUUACCAGAUUAAAAGGCAUGUUCUCUUUAGUAAGUCUACCAAGUUUUGGAAUAUUUGGUCAAAUGAUUCCAAAGUUAUGGUGCAAAAACGUCUUUCCAUACCCCUACUUCCCAGGGCUGUAAAAUUCUUAUCAAUUUCGAUAGAACACGACUUAUAAUCUCAAUUAGCAUCAUUUUAUAGGUCCUUUUUGAGGUUCAUUUUUUGUCGCACAAAUAUGAAUAACCCUGUAUGGUCGAAGGUUGCGCCGGUUGCCCCUCGACCGAUAUCAGUUGGUUGGCUGUUCCAUGGUGUGAGGUGUUCGUUUUCUGUAGUUCUGUAACCUCCAUCUAAUCAACACAAAUUUUUUGCUGCAUACAAAAUAUGGGUGAUAAGAUGGAUCGUAUCCAUUUAACUGAUAAAUUUAAACAGUUGCAAAUCGGUAGUCUGCAAACAAUGCCGUCUUUUGUGGGUGAUUGUAUUCUUUUUAUCAACGCUAACCCUGUGGCCGUUCACGUAGUGGCAGGGAAUGGCGUGUUAUCAGUAACACCGUUCCCAUUAUUCCCAAUGGGACUAAUUGGCUUUCAAGUACCUGCCCAGUACCUGGAUCAGACCCAACCGAGAAGUAUAGUUAUCGCCCUUACUCCAGGAUUGAGGAUAACACUUUGGUUCAAAAGCAAAGAAGAAAAGUGGAACUUCAUUGGGUUCCUCAAUUUGCCGGAAAAUCUCUCGAGUUCAGAUGAAACAGGAAGUUCGGACUCCAGGUCCAACCCAUCUACAGGCCCAUCUACUGAUUCAGGGAUUAUAAAUUAAAUAUUAUUAUUAAAUUAAUUAAUUAAUAAAAAAUAUUUUGUGGAA
This is an RNA transcript of Tribolium castaneum (red flour beetle), 1958 nucleotides long. RefSeq lists it as hypothetical. The transcript is spliced from 2 exons. The record is from RefSeq and is a predicted model, not a curated record. NCBI's taxonomy places the organism in Eukaryota, Metazoa, Arthropoda, Insecta, Coleoptera, Tenebrionidae.